RNAcentral lists this long non-coding RNA (1332 nucleotides) under Salmo salar (Atlantic salmon). RNAcentral's name for it is "lncRNA (ENSSSAG00000113426.1)". Lineage: Eukaryota; Metazoa; Chordata; Actinopteri; Salmoniformes; Salmonidae. The record is from RNAcentral.
GUUUUGCCAAGUUAACCAGCGUUUCGCCUAGCUCCUAUUUUUCCCAGUCUCUGUUUUUUAUUUUUAUUAGCCCUCCUGGUUUUGACCCUUGCCUGUCCUGAUGCCGACUCCGCCUGCCUGACCACUCUGCCGGUUCUGAUCUCGAGCCUGCCUAUCCCCUUGAAUUUGAACCUGUUCACGGAACUCCUGACCUCGAGCCUGCCUAUCCCCUGGUACUGUUUGGCCUCUGACCUGGUUUAUGAACUCUCGCCUGUCCCCGACCUGCCUUUUGCCUACCCCUUUUGGUAUAAUAAAUAUCGGAGCUCAACCAUCUGCCUCCCGUAUCUGCAUUUGGGUCUCACCUUGUGCCCUUUAUAGCAGUGUGAUGUGGUCCAGAUCUUACACCCCUAUCAGCUCAACCACAGCCCUCGCAGCUGCAGUCGUCUGCCCCUGUACCUGCUGCACUGGCCGCGACAGGUGAUACAGAUCUGCCACCCCCAGCAGUUCAGCUGCAGUCUCAGCAGUCCUCUGCUGUGGUAUUUAAUGUACCGACUGCAUCAGUUCCUGAUACACUGGUCGAUUUCCAGAUGGAUACAGAUCUGCCGUGCAUUCCAAUGCCCCUGACAGCCUCACCCAGCAGUGCAUACACUGGGCCUGUCAAGAUUGACAAAGCAGUGAUGGGCGGCUGACAAGGAAAAAUAAAACCUUCUCUCUGCUUCUCUUUUACAUUAGUAUUGUUUUAAAAAUGAAUAUGAACAUAUUUUCUUUGAAUUAGUCAAGGUCUGACAACACUGCAUAUUUUUUUAUUUUGACCAGUUGUCAUUUUCUGCAAAUAAAUGCUCUAAAUGACAAUAUUUGGGAGAAAUGUCAGUUUAUAGAAUAAAACUAAAUGUUAAUUUUACCCAAACACAUACCUAUAAAUAGUAAAACCAGAGAAACUGAUAAUUUUGCAGUGGUCUCUUAAUUUUUUUCCAGAGCUGUAGAUAUGUGGACGAAAGAUAUGUAUUCAUUGAAAGCUAAAGCCCACGGAACCAGAUUCUCGAUAUCCUCCUAUAUAGCUGGCUAGCCAGCAGCCUGGAGAGCAGCGCUGUUAUUGAAGUUUUGGUUUUAUGUCGUGCUGUUUGUGUGUAUACUGGACCAUUACUGGAAUUGUUGUAGGAACCGUGAGUCAACAAAGUUAAAAGUGGAAUGCUCUAAUUUGGCAUUUAGUGGUUAACUGUUGGUCUAAAAUGGAACAUAAAGUUGACGUUACCAAAGUUGGCUUGUUCAUCAUGACUGAAUCAUUAAUUACUUUGGUGUGCCAUCUAAUAGCCCUAUUGCUCCCACCACCCUACACUACAACUCCAUACGUCG